This 426-nucleotide ribosomal RNA is filed under the name uncultured bacterium. RNAcentral describes it as "bacterial SSU rRNA". It matches the Rfam family "Bacterial small subunit ribosomal RNA", at positions 356 to 773 of the family's 1533-position model. The record is from RNAcentral.
GGGGAAUUUUGCACAAUGGGCGAAAGCCUGAUGCAGCGACGCCGCGUGGGUGAUGAAGGUCUUCGGAUUGUAAAGCCCUGUCGGGGGGGAUGAACACUUCCAUAGCUAACAUCUAUGGGAUUUGACCGUACCCCCAAAGGAAGCACCGGCUAACUCCGUGCCAGCAGCCGCGGUAAUACGGAGGGUGCAAGCGUUGUUCGGAAUUAUUGGGCGUAAAGCGCCUGUAGGCGGGUAGGGUAGUUGGGUGUGAAAUCCCCGGGCUUAACUCGGGAAUUGCGCCCAAAACCACCUAUCUAGAGUACCAAAAGGGCACGUGGAAUUCCCAGUGUAGCAGUGAAAUGCGUAGAUAUUGGGAGGAACACCGGUGGUGAAGACGACGUGCUGGGUGGUAACUGACGCUGAGAGGCGAAAGCGUGGAUAGCAAAC